GAUGAACGCUGGCGGCGUGCCUAACACAUGCAAGUCGAGCGAUUCUCUUCGGAGAAGAGCGGCGGACGGGUGAGUAACGCGUGGGUAACCUGCCCUGUACACACGGAUAACAUACCGAAAGGUAUGCUAAUACGAGAUAAUAUGCUUUUAUCGCAUGGUAGAAGUAUCAAAGCUCCGGCGGUACAGGAUGGACCCGCGUCUGAUUAGCUAGUUGGUAAGGUAACGGCUUACCAAGGCGACGAUCAGUAGCCGACCUGAGAGGGUGAUCGGCCACAUCGGAACUGAGACACGGUCCAAACUCCUACGGGAGGCAGCAGUGGGGAAUAUUGCACAAUGGGCGAAAGCCUGAUGCAGCAACGCCGCGUGAGCGAUGAAGGCCUUCGGGUCGUAAAGCUCUGUCCUCAAGGAAGAUAAUGACAGUACUUGAGGAGGAAGCCCCGGCUAACUACGUGCCAGCAGCCGCGGUAA
This 468-nucleotide ribosomal RNA is filed under the name uncultured bacterium. Its description in RNAcentral is "partial 16S ribosomal RNA". It matches the Rfam family "Bacterial small subunit ribosomal RNA", at positions 28 to 523 of the family's 1533-position model. The record is from RNAcentral.